AGCUUUGCGCAGUGGCAGUAUCGUAGCUAAUGAGGUUAAUCCGAGGCGUGAUCAUUGCUAGUUGAAAACUUUUCCCAAUACCCUACCAUGAUGACUUGAAAUAUAGUUGCUAUUGGCAAUUUUUGACAGUCUCUUGUGAGA
Gopherus evgoodei (Goodes thornscrub tortoise) is the source of this 141-nucleotide small nuclear RNA. Its record names the gene U4. It matches the Rfam family "U4 spliceosomal RNA". From Rfam's summary of the family: U4 small nuclear RNA (U4 snRNA) is a component of the major U2-dependent spliceosome. The record is from Ensembl. Lineage: Eukaryota; Metazoa; Chordata; Testudines; Testudinidae.